This is a long non-coding RNA of Magnolia sinica, 413 nucleotides long. RefSeq lists it as uncharacterized. The transcript has 3 exons. The record is from RefSeq and is a predicted model, not a curated record. NCBI's taxonomy places the organism in Eukaryota, Viridiplantae, Streptophyta, Magnoliopsida, Magnoliales, Magnoliaceae.
CUUUAGCAUACAUUUAGCUCACCUAGUUUGACACCAACCUGAUUCUUGGACCUGGGCAUAUUUUCUAGGUGAAGUUUGCUAAGCCCACACAUGGGUAGAGCCUUCUGCAACAACAUACAGCCGCAUGUACCAAUAUAACAUAAGGUUUGAGGCACCUAUGGAUCUAAAGAAAGAGUGGGAAAGAUUAAUAUUUGAACAAAAGUAUGGGGAAGCAUUUACUUCAGCCCAUGAAUUGUUGGAUGUUUAUUUGGUUUUUAGAUAAUGUAGAUUUUGCUUAGUUUUUCAGAGUUUAUAAUUGAGAAGAUGAGCAUGUGCUCUUGAAGAAGCUAUUCGUUGGGGUACUGAUUAUCUUCUCAAAGCUACUGCUCAUCCAAACACCAUAUAUAUGCAGGUUUCUUUUUCUUUUUCUCUAA